CCCAGUGGGGGCAAGAAGGUGGCUGGCAACGAAAAGGCCGCAGCGAUCAGGAAGGCCAUCCUCGCUGGCGCCCGGCCCAAGUGAGGAGGAUCUACACGUAGAAAGCCGGCUUGUGCCGCGUGCCCGGCAU
RNAcentral lists this non-coding RNA (130 nucleotides) under Scrippsiella trochoidea. Lineage: Eukaryota; Dinophyceae; Peridiniales; Peridiniaceae. The record is from RNAcentral.